UCUCCCUCUUUCCCACUCUCUCUCUUCGACCAAAACUAGGAUCUCCACAUUCCGUAGCCUUCACCAACAAAUCCGGCUCCGUUUUCCUCCAAUUCGCGGCCUUGAAUUCAUCUGAAAACUGCUUGGGUUUCGACUGGGGUGGGGCUGGAGCUGCUGUUCGUCCUCAGCGUUCAACCCCCGCCGCCGUCAUCGUCCUCAGCAUCGCCGAUUUCUGCUGCCGUCGCCGCAUGCGACUCGCCGCUGGGAGACGCUGCUGUCGCCAACGUGAGCCGCGACGCCCCUCCGCUGCUCCUGCACAGUCACCGCCGCCGUCGGCACUCUGCUCCCCUGAACCGCCGCCGCUGCUGCUCGUCGCCGGGAUCCGCCGCCGUCGCUGCCGGGGACGCGACGCCACCGCUGCCAGCAGCAGCUCUCGGUCAGUCUCCGCCACCCGUCGCCCCAAGUUACCCCGAAACAGACCCGACGCCUCCAACCCUAACCCGAUUCGCCCCGCAAAUUACGGAGGAUGAAUAUCUUUUCACGGAGCAGGAAAAAUCUGCGUAAAAUCUUUAAUUAAGAUUUGAAUUAA
Salvia splendens (bonfire salvia) is the source of this 568-nucleotide long non-coding RNA. RefSeq lists it as uncharacterized. The record is from RefSeq and is a predicted model, not a curated record. NCBI's taxonomy places the organism in Eukaryota, Viridiplantae, Streptophyta, Magnoliopsida, Lamiales, Lamiaceae. The transcript has 2 exons.